AUGCUGAUCUAUGGUGAUGAUCAAAGACCCUCAGGGGUUCCUGAUCGGUUCCCUGGUUCCAAGGACACCUCGUCCAGUGCUGCCUCCCUGACCAUCUCUGGGGUGCAGCAAGAGGACGAGGCCGACUACUACUGCCUCUCUUAUGAGGCUGUGAGCACCGUGGCCUGGAUGCCUCUCCUCCUCAUGAUCAUCUCUCACUGCACAGGAUCCUGGGCCCAGUCUGAGCUGACUCAGCUGUCUUCAGUGUCUGGGGCGCUGGGCCAGAGCAUCGUCAUCACCUGUGCUGGAAGCAGCUCCAACAUCGGGGGUUAUAAUGUGCAAUGGUACCAACAGCUCCCAGGAACAACCCCCAAACUCCUGAUACAUGAUAACAGCAAUAAGCCCUCAGGGUUCCCUGAUCGAUUCUCAGGCUCCAAAUCUGGCACCUCGGGCUCGCUGACCAUCACUGGGCUACAGCCUGAGGACGAGGCUGAGUACCACUGCCAGUCACAAAGCAGCACCAUGGGGUUGCAUAUUUUUAUAUCUGGUUCAAUCUUCCUACUAUUUGUGUGGUGGCUACUACUCUAA
Non-coding RNA from Talpa occidentalis (Iberian mole), 567 nucleotides. NCBI's taxonomy places the organism in Eukaryota, Metazoa, Chordata, Mammalia, Eulipotyphla, Talpidae. The record is from the annotation of a RefSeq genome assembly.